This 88-nucleotide transfer RNA is filed under the name bacterium. Its description in RNAcentral is "tRNA-Ser". It matches the Rfam family "tRNA". Rfam says of the family: Transfer RNA (tRNA) molecules are approximately 80 nucleotides in length. Their secondary structure includes four short double-helical elements and three loops (D, anti-codon, and T loops). The record is from RNAcentral.
GGAGGGUUGUGCCGAAUGGUAAGGCGACGGCCUGCUAAGCCGUGCUCCCGUUUUAGGGAGCUUGCGGGUUCGAGUCCCGCACCCUCCG